CUGCUGGACAUUUACUGACGCUGAGGUACGAAGGCUAGGGUAGCGAAAGGNAUUAGAUACCCCUGUAGUCNUAGCAGUAAACGGUGCGCGCUUGGUGUAGGAGGACUCGACCCNUUCUGUGCCGGAGCUAACGCGUUAAGCGCGCCGCCUGGGGAGUACGGUCGCAAGACUAAAACUCAAAGAAAUUGACGGGGACCCGCACAAGCGGUGGAGUAUGUGGCUUAAUUCGAUGCAACGCGAAGAACCUUACCAAGGCUUGACAUGUAUUGCUAAGCACGUGAAAGCGUGUGACCCUUCGGGGACCUUACACAGGUGCUGCAUGGCCGUCGUCAGCUCGUGUCGUGAGAUGUUUGGUUAAGUCCAGCAACGAGCGCAACCCCUGUGAAUAGUUGCCAGCACGUAAUGGUGGGGACUCUAUUCAGACUGCCCAGGUCAACUGGGAGGAAGGUGGGGAUGACGUCAGGUCAGUAUGGCCCUUACGCCUUGGGCUGCACACGUACUACAAUGCCCAGUACAAUGAGAACCGAUACCGCGAGGUGGAGGAAAUCUGCAAAACUGGGCCCAGUUCGGAUUGGAGGCUGCAACUCGCCUCCAUGAAGUUGGAAUCGCUAGUAAUGGCACAUCAGCUACGGUGCCGUGAAUACGUUCCCGGGUCUUGUACACACCGCCCGUCACAUCAUGGAAGCCGAUCGCACCCGAAGUAUCUGCGCUAACUAUUUAUAGAAGCAAGGUCCUAAGGUGUAGUUGGUAACUAGGAUGAAGUCGUAACAAGGAGCCG
This 778-nucleotide ribosomal RNA is filed under the name uncultured bacterium. RNAcentral's name for it is "bacterial SSU rRNA". It matches the Rfam family "Bacterial small subunit ribosomal RNA", at positions 726 to 1501 of the family's 1533-position model. The record is from RNAcentral.